RNAcentral lists this ribosomal RNA (253 nucleotides) under uncultured bacterium. Its description in RNAcentral is "partial 16S ribosomal RNA". It matches the Rfam family "Bacterial small subunit ribosomal RNA", at positions 524 to 776 of the family's 1533-position model. The record is from RNAcentral.
UACGAAGGGGGCGAGCGUUGUUCGGAUUUACUGGGCGUAAAGGGCGCGCAGGCGGCUAUUUUUGUCAGGCGUGAAAGGCCCGGGCUCAACCUGGGAACUGCGCAUGAUACUGCGGCGCUUGAAGACGGGAGAGGAUGGCGGAAUUCCCAGUGUAGAGGUGAAAUUCGUAGAUAUUGGGAAGAACACCGGUGGCGAAGGCGGCCAUCUGGCCCGUGAUUGACGCUGAGGCGCGAAAGCGUGGGGAGCAAACAGG